AGAGAGACACGGCGACUGUUGGAGAGAGUGGUGUAUCAGACUGGAUACCCCAACUCAAUUGUAUCAACUGCUCGUUGGUACCUCUUAAGACACCUCCAUGCGAAAGAUGACCAUGAGCUAAUUGAUGUUUUGGUGAGGAAUGCCGAGACCCACGGUGAUAAAAGAAUGUUGGAACUGAAUCGGAAGCUGUCGGCCCAAUAAUCGUGGAUUGUGAGACGCACAGUAAGGAACCAGAGAAAACACUUGCAGAUGAGGCAGCGAAUCAAGCGUUCUCACCAGAACAGCACAUUUUAAAAUUAUGGUUGUAUCAGCUGGUCAAGGUGGUGCCCCAAUUUAAUCCUGGCACUUGGGAGGCAGAGGUGGGAACUCUGCGAGUUCCAGGCCAUCAUGGUCUUCAUAGAGUUUCAGGAUAGCCAUCUGUACACAAUGAAAUCCCAUCUUGAAAAGAAUAAAAAAUAAAAACAAAUAAGUUUAAAGCU
Molecule: long non-coding RNA, 479 nt
Filed under: Rattus norvegicus (Norway rat)
Lineage: Eukaryota; Metazoa; Chordata; Mammalia; Rodentia; Muridae
Description: long non-coding RNA NONRATT014874
Source: RNAcentral